This 372-nucleotide unclassified non-coding RNA is filed under the name Hevea brasiliensis (rubber tree). Lineage: Eukaryota; Viridiplantae; Streptophyta; Magnoliopsida; Malpighiales; Euphorbiaceae. The record is from RNAcentral.
GUUUCUUUCCUUUUCCCCUAGAAAUCUAAGGUGAUAUGAUGUGGUAUCUGAUGAUGUUUCAAAUGUGCAUCUAAAUAUGGUGACACAGGUAAGAGAGAAUUAGGAAAAGGAGAGAAGUGACCUACGUGAUCUUGUAAUACUGACUACAUGAUCUUGUAAUACUGAUUAUAUAUAUCUACUGCUGAAGACGUAUUAUUUGAUGUAUUGUUCUCCCAUAUGGAAAUUACAUGGGCCGCUUUGUUAGGUAGGGAAGAAUCUCCAUGUUCUUAGUCAGAUAGAAGGUGUGGACCUUGAAACGUACAGAAACACUGUUGUUUAGAGCAGCUUUGAUCAUGUAGGUCUUGUCUCAUAGGUUUCUUUCCUUUUCCCCUA